UACGGGGGGAGCAAGCGUUGUUCGGAUUUACUGGGCGUAAAGGGCGCGUAGGCGGCCACCGCACGUCGGUUGUGAAAUCUCCGGGCUUAACCCGGAACGGUCAAUCGAUACUGCGGGGCUAGAGUGCAGAAGGGGCAACUGGAAUUCUCGGUGUAGCGGUGAAAUGCGUAGAUAUCGAGAGGAACACCUGCGGCGAAGGCGGGUUGCUGGGCUGACACUGACGCUGAGGCGCGAAAGCUAGGGGAGCGAACGGG
This 254-nucleotide ribosomal RNA is filed under the name uncultured bacterium. RNAcentral's name for it is "partial 16S ribosomal RNA". It matches the Rfam family "Bacterial small subunit ribosomal RNA", at positions 524 to 776 of the family's 1533-position model. The record is from RNAcentral.